This is a long non-coding RNA of Neoarius graeffei (lesser salmon catfish), 1615 nucleotides long. RefSeq lists it as uncharacterized. The transcript is spliced from 3 exons. The record is from RefSeq and is a predicted model, not a curated record. Lineage: Eukaryota; Metazoa; Chordata; Actinopteri; Siluriformes; Ariidae.
UCCAGCUGUCUGCUCUCUCUCUCAGCUGUCUGCUCCAGCUGUCUGCUCUCUCUCUCAGCUGUCUGCUCCAGCUGUCUGCUCUCUCUCUCAGCUGUCUGUGCUCUCUCAGCUGUCUGUGCUCUCUCUCUCAGCUGUCUGUGCUCUCUCUCAGCUGUCUGUGCUCUCUCUCAGCUGUCUGUUCUCUCUCUCAGCUGUCUGCUCUCUCUCUCUCAGCUGUCUGCUCUCUCUCUCUCAGCUGUCUGCUCUCUCUCUCAGCUGUCUGCUCUCUCUCUCAGCUGUCUGUGCUCUCAGCUGUCUGCUCUCUCUCUCUCUCAGCUGUCUGCUCUCUCUCUCUCAGCUGUCUGCUCUCUCUUUCAGCUGUCUGCUCUCUCUCAGCUGUCUGCUCUCUCUCAGCUGUCUGUGAUCUCUCUCUCUCUCUCUCUCUGUGUGAGUGCUGUGAAAGGGGUAAAGGGGAUUAAAGCAGUAACCUGUGGGAUUCUCAGCAGGAUCCCAGCAGACUGUAUGAGGUCUCAGUGUGCAGCUCUAACCUGUCCUGCAUGGACGGAGUGUCCGAGCGCUUCUCCUCUGGCACCAUGAAGCUGCCUGCAGCCAACACAACCCCCACAUACAGCGCGUCCCCCAUCACCCGACCCGACGCGGAACCCGAACCGCAGCAGAGACACUCGGGGCAGAAACAGAAGGAAAAGCCGGGGAGUAAAUUCCCUCUCAACAGAAAGUUUUCUUCCCGGAAAUGAAGCAAUGGCGAAGCGAAAUGACGUCACCUCCGUUUAAAUUCGAAAUCCCGCUGAAUCCUGCGAGAACACUUCGUCACGUCCCCGCCCCACCCCACCCCCCUGCAAUCAGUGAAGGAGUCAAAGCUGGCGGAGUUGCUGAAGCUCUCAGAGGGUCGGGCUCAGGAGUCAGCUCCUCUGUCCUGGAGCUGUGGGGUCUGGGAGUGGGGCAGAGCGCUGACACUGGAGACUCCUUCCACAGAACCACAGCUGCACCAUUACACACCUGUUUACCAUCAGUGUUUACCCCCAGAACACACCCCAUAUCAUACACAUCCCAAUCAGCUGCUGCUAUAGAAACCUUCAGGUCUCAGGGCAUUAACAGAAACCCGCACUACUGCCAGAGCCGCUGUUACAGAGAAUUAAUCAACACCUGCUGACCAGUCAGAGUGCAGAACUCAGCGGCGCUGAAGAAUGAAUGCAGCCAAUACAGUUUACACCCGGCUGUUGUGGGACGAUCCAGCAGAGGAAAUGAGGAGGGAACCCCCCCCCGGCGCUCUCUUAUUACACACACACACUCCCGUUUAAAAGGCCACUGCGCACUGUGUUUAUUGUGCACAGAGGCACUGUGGGUAAAACAGUGUGUUAAUAAGGAGGUGUGUUGGAUCUGAGCACUGCGAGUGUGUAUCAUGUGUGUGUGUAGAGCUCUGUUCGUCCUCUGGAUCUUCUCGCUUCUCAGCAGGAACGGGUUCGGUUAUAAUGAUGAGGAUUAUUCCGAUUUCUCCUAUAAUGACAUCACAGAUGGAGAUGAGCCAGAGACUUCUCCUUGUCCCUGUGAUGGUGGAGAGCGAUUACAUUGGGAGAAGCUCUUCAUCAGGAUGGAGGACUCACACAUGAUGCAGAAG